AUGGCCACCCCAAUGGCCACCCCGGUGGUCACCCUGGCUCCCAGGCAGCCCUCCCUGCUCCAGCUCUUCAGGGGGCUCUUGAGGGUCCCAUGGUGGAUACAGAAGCCCAGAGUGGAGGAGCUGGGGCCAGCUGAGGGGUGCAGCAGCCCAGGGAAGCCCCCAAACUGGGAGCACUGGGAGGAUGGCCAGGGGAAAAGCCACCUGGCCACUUGGGCUCCCUGCUGUCCUUCCCCUCUCCAGCUCCUCAGGGGGCUCUGGGGGCUGCUGGGGAGCCUGUGGGGGACACAGCAGCCCCGGGAGGAGGAGCUGGGGGCAGCUGAGGGCUGCAGCCACCCAGGGCAGCGCUGGGAUGGUGCCAGCAGGGAGAGCAUGGAGUCACUGCUGGGGAAGCUGGAGGAGCUCAGCAUCAGAGGCUGCCUGGUGCUCAGCACCAGUGACCAGGAGCUGCUGGGGGACAGCCACAGAGCCCAGCAGGCAGCAGGCAGCCAGGAGGGGACGGCCCCACCGGGAUAUUCCAGAGGCAAAGCUCUGCGGAUGAAUGGGCUCCCAGCAGCUCCGGGUGCCGAUGGAGAAGGAGUUGCCAGCCCCGAGCCAAUGCUCUCCGUGGACUCCGAUGCUGAAUGGGAGAAGCAGCAGCUCCUGGAAGCAGGUGAAGGUGCAAGGCCCCCAAAAGCAGAGAUGUCCCCAGGGAAGAGGUUCUGGAAUGCCAGCAGACAGCAAAGGGCUCCAAAUGAGGCUCCUGCCCUGGGAAGUGUGAUGGGAAGGGAGGAGGAGUCACUUCUGAGUGGGGCUGCUGCUGGCCCUGCAAACCCCUGGGAUGUGCUGCUGGCCAGGAGCAGAAGCUUUUGGCUGCUUUGGGAGAAGCUGGGCACAGCUGGGAUCAGGUGGAACCUCUGGAAAAGGCUGAGUGUCAGGUCCAUAAAUCCCUUUCAGAAAAGCUGGAGCCUCCUGCAGACAAACCCAGCACGUUUCAGUCGCGCUUUUUUAAUGAAAUGAGCCCAGUUUGGAGUCUCCUCUGUGAGAAG
This is a long non-coding RNA of Cyanistes caeruleus (blue tit), 1025 nucleotides long. Ensembl lists it as uncharacterized. The record is from Ensembl. NCBI's taxonomy places the organism in Eukaryota, Metazoa, Chordata, Aves, Passeriformes, Paridae.